UGGCUCAGAGGUUAAAGCACCUGCCUGAAAUGCAGGAGACCCAGGUUCGAUCCCUGG
This 57-nucleotide transfer RNA is filed under the name Bos taurus (domestic cattle). It matches the Rfam family "tRNA", at positions 8 to 63 of the family's 71-position model. Rfam says of the family: Transfer RNA (tRNA) molecules are approximately 80 nucleotides in length. Their secondary structure includes four short double-helical elements and three loops (D, anti-codon, and T loops). RNAcentral also lists the same sequence under 5 other names. The record is from Rfam by way of RNAcentral. Lineage: Eukaryota; Metazoa; Chordata; Mammalia; Artiodactyla; Bovidae.